GGAGAGGAUCGGACGGCCGCCGGCCGGGGGCGAGGGGGUCGACACACCGGCCCUUGCCGCACCCGGCGGGAGGAAAGUCCGGGCUCCGAAGGACACGGUGAUGGGUAACACCCACCGGCCGCGAGGCCAGGGAAAGUGCAACAGAAAGCAAACCGCCGCGAGGUUCCGCCGCGCGGUAAGGGUGAAACGGUGAGGUAAGAGCUCACCAGCAGGCCGGGUGACCGGCUUGGCUAGGCAAACCCCACCGGGAGCAAGAUCAAACAGGGAGUCGUGGUGCGCCAUCGCGGCGUUUCGAUGCCGCGAGCCACCCGCGGGCUGGUCCGGUCCGCCAUGGACUUCCGGGUAGAUCGCUGGAGAAACCGAGCAAUCGGUUUCCUAGAGAAAUGGUCGUCGCUUGCUUCGGCAGGAACAGAACCCGGCUUACAGAUCCUCUCCAACC
This 439-nucleotide RNase P RNA is filed under the name Rhodopirellula sp. Its description in RNAcentral is "RNase P RNA component class A". It matches the Rfam family "Bacterial RNase P class A". Rfam says of the family: Ribonuclease P (RNase P) is a ubiquitous endoribonuclease, found in archaea, bacteria and eukarya as well as chloroplasts and mitochondria. Its best characterised activity is the generation of mature 5'-ends of tRNAs by cleaving the 5'-leader elements of precursor-tRNAs. Cellular RNase Ps are ribonucleoproteins. Lineage: Bacteria; Pseudomonadati; Planctomycetota; Planctomycetia; Pirellulales; Pirellulaceae. The record is from RNAcentral.